RNAcentral lists this ribosomal RNA (825 nucleotides) under uncultured bacterium. RNAcentral's name for it is "bacterial SSU rRNA". It matches the Rfam family "Bacterial small subunit ribosomal RNA", at positions 550 to 1378 of the family's 1533-position model. The record is from RNAcentral.
AUUACUGGGCGUAAAGCGUGCGCAGGCGGAUUGUUAAGCAAGAUGUGAAAUCCCCGGGCUUAACCUGGGAAUGGCAUUUUGAACUGGCAGUCUAGAGUGCGUCAGAGGGGGGUGGAAUUCCACGUGUAGCAGUGAAAUGCGUAGAGAUGUGGGGGAACACCAAUGGCGAAGGCAGCCCCCUGGGAUGACACUGACGCUCAUGUACGAAAGCGUGGGUAGCAAACAGGAUUAGAUACCCUGGUAGUCCACGCCCUAAACGAUGUCAACUGGUUGUUGGGGGAGUGAAAUCCCUUAGUAACGAAGCUAACGCGUGAAGUUGACCGCCUGGGGGGUACGGUCGCAAGAUUAAAACUCAAAGGAAUUGACGGGGACCCGCACAAGCGGUGGAUGAUGUGGAUUAAUUCGAUGCAACGCGAAAAACCUUACCUACCCUUGACAUGUCCGGAAUCCUGCAGAGAUGCGGGAGUGCUCGAAAGAGAACAGGAACACAGGUGCUGCAUGGCUGUCGUCAGCUCGUGUCGUGAGAUGUUGGGUUAAGUCCCGCAACGAGCGCAACCCUUAUCAUUAGCUGCUACGCAAGGGCACUCUAAUGAGACUGCCGGUGACGAACCGGAGGAAGGUGGGGAUGACGUCAAGUCCUCAUGGCCCUUAUGGGUAGGGCUUCACACGUCAUACAAUGGUCGGUACAGAGGGUUGCCAAGCCGCGAGGUGGAGCCAAUCCCAGAGAGCCGAUCGUAGUCCGGAUUGUUCUCUGCAACUCGAGAGCAUGGAGUCGGAAUCGCUAGUAAUCGCGGAUCAGCAUGUCGCGGUGAAUACGUUCCCGGG